UUCCAGACUCCUACGGGAGGCAGCAGUGGGGAAUAUUGCACAAUGGGGGAAACCCUGAUGCAGCGACGCCGCGUGAGUGAAGAAGUAUUUCGGUAUGUAAAGCUCUAUCAGCAGGGAAGAAAAUGACGGUACCUGACUAAGAAGCCCCGGCUAACUACGUGCCAGCAGCCGCGGUAAUACGUAGGGGGCAAGCGUUAUCCGGAUUUACUGGGUGUAAAGGGAGCGUAGACGGCAUGGCAAGUCAGAUGUGAAAGCCCGGGGCUCAACCCCGGGACUGCAUUUGAAGCUGUCAGGCUGGAGUGCAGGAGAGGUAAGUGGAAUUCCUAGUGUAGCGGUGAAAUGCGUAGAUAUUAGGAGGAACACCAGUGGCGAAGGCGGCCUGCUGGACGAUGACUGACGUUGAGGCUCGAAAGCGUGGGGAGCAAACAGGAUUAGAUACCCGUGUAUC
This 448-nucleotide ribosomal RNA is filed under the name uncultured bacterium. RNAcentral's name for it is "bacterial SSU rRNA". It matches the Rfam family "Bacterial small subunit ribosomal RNA", at positions 329 to 794 of the family's 1533-position model. The record is from RNAcentral.